GAUGAACGCUGGCGGCAUGCCUAACACAUGCAAGUCGGACGGGAAGAGGUGUUUCCUGUGGCGGACGGGUGAGUAACGCGUAAGAACCUGACCUGGGGAGGGGAACAACAACUGGAAACGGUUGCUAAUACACCGCAGGCUGAGGAGCAAAAGGUGGAAUCCGCCCGAGGGGGGGCUUGUGUCUGACUAGCUAGUUGGAGCGGAAAUAGCUUACCAAGGCGAUGAUCAGUAGCUGGUCCGAGAGGAUGAUCAGCCACACUGGGACGGAGACACGGAGCAGGGUCCUACGGGAGGUAGCAGUGGGGAAUUUGCCGCAAUGGGCGAAGGCCUAACGGAGCAAUGGCGCGGGGAGGUAGAGGGCCUACGGAUCGUGAACUUCUUUUCUCGGAGAAGAAACAAUGACGGUAUCUGAGGAAUAAGCAACGGCUAACUCUGUG
Molecule: ribosomal RNA, 437 nt
Filed under: uncultured bacterium
Lineage: Bacteria
Description: partial 16S ribosomal RNA
Rfam family: Bacterial small subunit ribosomal RNA
Source: RNAcentral